UGAGGACCUGAGGAUCUGAAGGAGGCUGC
Molecule: non-coding RNA, 29 nt
Filed under: Homo sapiens (human)
Lineage: Eukaryota; Metazoa; Chordata; Mammalia; Primates; Hominidae
Source: RNAcentral